RNAcentral lists this ribosomal RNA (253 nucleotides) under uncultured bacterium. RNAcentral describes it as "partial 16S ribosomal RNA". It matches the Rfam family "Bacterial small subunit ribosomal RNA", at positions 524 to 776 of the family's 1533-position model. The record is from RNAcentral.
UAUGUAGGGUGCGAGCGUUAAUCGGAAUUACUGGGCGUAAAGCGUGCGCAGGCGGUUUUGUAAGACAGAUGUGAAAUCCCCGGGCUUAACCUGGGAACUGCAUUUGUGACUGCAAGACUAGAGUACGGCAGAGGGGGGUAGAAUUCCACGUGUAGCAGUGAAAUGCGUAGAUAUGUGGAGGAAUACCGAUGGCGAAGGCGGCCUCCUGGACUAACACUGACGCUGAGGUACGAAAGCGUGGGGAUCAAACAGG